GGCAACGUGCCAGAGUGGUUAAUGGGUACCCCUCGAAAGGGUAUGACUUCGGUCGCACAGGUUCGAAUCCUGUCGUUGUCG
The sequence is a transfer RNA, 81 nucleotides long. It matches the Rfam family "tRNA". Rfam says of the family: Transfer RNA (tRNA) molecules are approximately 80 nucleotides in length. The record is from Rfam.